GUUGGUGUGACGCAAUUGGUAGACGUGCUUGCCUUAGAAGCAAGAGGUUGAGGGUUCGAGUCCCUCCACCAACA
RNAcentral lists this transfer RNA (74 nucleotides) under Chloroflexota bacterium. Its description in RNAcentral is "tRNA-Leu". It matches the Rfam family "tRNA". From Rfam's summary of the family: Transfer RNA (tRNA) molecules are approximately 80 nucleotides in length. Their secondary structure includes four short double-helical elements and three loops (D, anti-codon, and T loops). Further hydrogen bonds mediate the characteristic L-shaped molecular structure. tRNAs have two regions of fundamental functional importance: the anti-codon, which is responsible for specific mRNA codon recognition, and the 3' end, to which the tRNAs corresponding amino acid is attached (by aminoacyl-tRNA synthetases). tRNAs cope with the degeneracy of the genetic code in two manners: having more than one tRNA (with a specific anti-codon) for a particular amino acid; and 'wobble' base-pairing, i.e. permitting non-standard base-pairing at the 3rd anti-codon position. The record is from RNAcentral. Lineage: Bacteria; Bacillati; Chloroflexota.